This 173-nucleotide ribosomal RNA is filed under the name uncultured bacterium. Its description in RNAcentral is "partial 16S ribosomal RNA". It matches the Rfam family "Bacterial small subunit ribosomal RNA", at positions 338 to 525 of the family's 1533-position model. The record is from RNAcentral.
CCUACGGGAGGCAGCAGUGGGGAAUAUUGCACAAUGGGCGCAAGCCUGAUGCAGCAACGCCGCGUGAACGAAGAAGGCUCUUGGGUCGUAAAGUUCUGUUCUGAGGGAAGAAGAAAGUGACGGUACCUCAGGAGAAAGCCCCAGCUAACUACGUGCCAGCAGCCGCGGUAAUA